Non-coding RNA from Oryza barthii, 209 nucleotides. The record is from Rfam. NCBI's taxonomy places the organism in Eukaryota, Viridiplantae, Streptophyta, Magnoliopsida, Poales, Poaceae.
AAUAAGUGUAGUUUUGCACUAUUCAUGUCUAACGUUUGAUCGUUCGUCUUAUUUAAAUUUUUUUUAUGAUUACUAUUUUUAUUGUUAUUAGAUGAUAAAACAUGAAUAAUAUUUCAGGUGUGACUAUUUUUUUUUAUUUUUUUUCAUAAAAUUUUCAAAUAAGACGGAUUGUCAAACGUUGGACACGGAUUUUUACGGCUACACUUAUU